AAGAAGGGAAGGGAAAGAAAAAACCCCUCUGUACUAUGCAUGUAGAACGUAGACUAUAUGUAUUUAAUAAUCACCGGCGGAUCUUUAGAUUAGAGGCGUGUUAAUAAAAAUGAGACGCUUCACCGAGCGAAACACACCGCUUUUGGUGUGACGCGAAAACCAGAUUGAUCCGGUUUGGUAGGUUUAAUAAGUUGAAUCAGGUGUUAGAGCGGGAAAACGCGGUGAAAAGGAAACUCAGGAGCAGGAUUUCAAAAAAAAAAAAAAAAAAAGGAACACACAGAUAAAGAAGUAGGUUUUAGAUAAACGGUCUAUAUUAAUUCUCCUCCCUUUCACGUCAUCUUGCUUUAAAAAAAUAAGGCCGACUAAAGAAAAGGGACAAAACUUUUUUUUUCCGGAUUCGUCUUUUUCUGUGUUUAAUUACUUCGCCAACACGGAAAUUCCAAGCCAAUUGUUUUGAUGAGUCUUAGUCUGACAUGAAGGUGAUAAAAUCCCGUGAGUGUGAUGUCGGGAUUAAUUACAGAUCUUUAGAACAAAAGCAAACGCGUCAGGCGACGUACAAAACAAGCAAGAA
This is a long non-coding RNA of Tachysurus fulvidraco (yellow catfish), 571 nucleotides long. RefSeq lists it as uncharacterized. The record is from RefSeq and is a predicted model, not a curated record. The transcript is spliced from 2 exons. Lineage: Eukaryota; Metazoa; Chordata; Actinopteri; Siluriformes; Bagridae.